This is a non-coding RNA of Pelobates cultripes (western spadefoot toad), 290 nucleotides long. The record is from the annotation of a GenBank genome assembly. NCBI's taxonomy places the organism in Eukaryota, Metazoa, Chordata, Amphibia, Anura, Pelobatidae.
CUAGAUGUUGCACAUGAUGAAAGCUGACACAAAUAUUGUGCUGCCUAUAAAAUAAUUCAACAGUAAUUAUCAAACCAAAACCACUCACCAUGCCUGUAGGCUGGUAGUCGUUUUCUUGCCUCUGCUGACUGGAGUAAUUUGACCCAUUGUAGGACCAGUCAUAUAUAUAUAUAUAUAUAUAUGGUGUAGCUGUAAAUAACCAAAAAUCUGAAGAGACCACUAAUCGAAUUCCCUAUUCAGAGAUUGCCAGUGCUUUCAGCAAAAGCUAUUGCUUUUGAGUUUUUUUUUUU